AUUGAACGCUGGCGGCAGGCUUAACACAUGCAAGUCGAGCGGUAGCACAGGGGAGCUUGCUCCCUGGGUGACGAGCGGCGGACGGGUGAGUAAUGUCUGGGAAACUGCCUGAUGGAGGGGGAUAACUACUGGAAACGGUAGCUAAUACCGCAUAACGUCGCAAGACCAAAGAGGGGGACCUUCGGGCCUCUUGCCAUCAGAUGUGCCCAGAUGGGAUUAGCUAGUAGGUGGGGUAAUGGCUUACCUAGGCGACGAUCCCUAGCUGGUCUGAGAGGAUGGCCAGCCGCACUAGAACUGAGGCACGGUACAGACUCCUACGGGAGGCAGCAGUGGGUAAUAUUGCACAAGGGGCGGAAGACUGAUGCAGCCAUGCCGCGUGUGUGAAGAAGGCCUUCGGGUUGUAAAGCACUUUCAGCGGGGAGGAAGGUGGUGAACUUAAUACGUUCAUCAAUUGACGUUACCCGCAGAGGAAGCACCGGCUAACUCCGUG
RNAcentral lists this ribosomal RNA (490 nucleotides) under uncultured bacterium. RNAcentral's name for it is "partial 16S ribosomal RNA". It matches the Rfam family "Bacterial small subunit ribosomal RNA", at positions 30 to 507 of the family's 1533-position model. The record is from RNAcentral.